UUAUAGAGGGCUACGGCUCCCUGUAUACAUUUUACCAUAAUGAUAUUCAUUCUAUGUUGCUUCCAUCACUGUCAUGGUGGUGGGGGGUUUUUUCAUACUAUUAUUUUUGCUAAGACUUUCAAUGUGUCUGAAUAUGAGGGGAAAUAUUACAAAACUUUCAACAACGGAUCUCUUGGCUCCUGCAUCGAUGAAGAACGCAGCGAAAUGCGAUAAUUAAUGUGAAUUGCAGAAUUCCGUGAAUCAUCGAGUCUUUGAACGCACAUUGCGCCUCAUGGUAUUCCGUGAGGCAUGCCCAUCUCAGCGUCAUUAAAUAUCAUCAAAUUUUGACAGUGUGUCGAUAUUUGGAUCAUGUCAGGGAAGCUAUUUCUAUUCAUAUGGAUAGCUCCUUGGAAAUAGAUAGGUCUUAAAGGUGCUAUCAUUAGAACGUGAUGAAAAUUCCUUCGUUCAAAUGUAGGUCACUUCUUUAGUCCUGAAACUUCUAUGCCUUGUAGGUAUAUUUUUAAUUUGACCUGAGAUUGGGUAGGGAUACCCGCUGAACUUAAGCAUAUCAAUAAGC
Molecule: ribosomal RNA, 556 nt
Filed under: Hydnobolites sp. 3 RH-2012
Lineage: Eukaryota; Fungi; Ascomycota; Pezizomycetes; Pezizales; Pezizaceae
Also listed under: 1 other name
Description: eukaryotic LSU rRNA
Rfam family: 5.8S ribosomal RNA (bases 153-306)
Source: RNAcentral